CGGUGAAUACGUUCCCGGACCUUGCACACACCGCCCGUCAAACAAUGGAAGUCGGGUGUACCUUAAGACGAUGACCGCAAGGAAUUGUCCAAGGUAAAACCGGUAACUGGUGUU
Molecule: ribosomal RNA, 114 nt
Filed under: uncultured bacterium
Lineage: Bacteria
Description: partial 16S ribosomal RNA
Rfam family: Bacterial small subunit ribosomal RNA
Source: RNAcentral